UUAUAUUGUUUUACAGUUUAUUUUUAAAAUGACAGUAACAAAUGCUGUUCCCUUGUUUGGGAACCAUGUAUUUAUUUUCAGUCAAUAGCGCCUUAAAAAGUAACAGCAUUUUGUCCAAAUUGAACUUAUAUAAUUGCACAAAAGUCAAACAAAGCAUUAAGAAAUGCUGGCAAAGACUGCAGUUCUCUCAGCUCCUCAUGAAGCAAACCCCCAAAGGCCUGGAUUUCAGUGGAGACCCCUGACCCGAAUAAUACUGAUGCUCACCCUGAGUUCCUCAGGGACACACAGGUGGAGGUGAGAGCAGCCAGGGAGACUCGCAUGCUUUGUGAUAGUGGAAUUCUGCUCUACCCCUAGGGCUUCGAGAUACAGUCAUUAGAAUUAUUAAGCACUUCAGCUUGAAGUAUAUUUGUUCAGGCUUAAAACGCACCCUUAUCAGCUUACAUUCUGGGAUACAGAUCCCACUUCAGGAAACUAAAAAAAAAAAAAAAAAAUAGAACCACACCAUAAAAACCUCUUCUAAGCGAGGUCCUGUAUGCUGCCACCCCGGCCCUCACGUACUUUCUAACAUACAUACAAAAAUAAGUUACAUGAUCGUUGAUCAUAUGCCAGCUGAGGGAUGGUAGACAGAGUCUAACUCAAAGCCCAGCUCCUGUUUUAUUGACAGCAGUUACUGGAAGGACUCUGAAGUCACAGCUGGGCUGGCGGAAAGCUGCUGUGCUGUGCUUGUGAUCUGA
Molecule: long non-coding RNA, 734 nt
Filed under: Bos taurus (domestic cattle)
Lineage: Eukaryota; Metazoa; Chordata; Mammalia; Artiodactyla; Bovidae
Description: long non-coding RNA NONBTAT021635
Source: RNAcentral